This 1548-nucleotide ribosomal RNA is filed under the name Neisseria meningitidis. RNAcentral's name for it is "bacterial SSU rRNA". It matches the Rfam family "Bacterial small subunit ribosomal RNA". Lineage: Bacteria; Pseudomonadati; Pseudomonadota; Betaproteobacteria; Neisseriales; Neisseriaceae. The record is from RNAcentral.
AUUGAACAUAAGAGUUUGAUCCUGGCUCAGAUUGAACGCUGGCGGCAUGCUUUACACAUGCAAGUCGGACGGCAGCACAGAGAAGCUUGCUUCUUGGGUGGCGAGUGGCGAACGGGUGAGUAACAUAUCGGAACGUACCGAGUAGUGGGGGAUAACUGAUCGAAAGAUCAGCUAAUACCGCAUACGUCUUGAGAGAGAAAGCAGGGGACCUUCGGGCCUUGCGCUAUUCGAGCGGCCGAUAUCUGAUUAGCUAGUUGGUGGGGUAAAGGCCUACCAAGGCGACGAUCAGUAGCGGGUCUGAGAGGAUGAUCCGCCACACUGGGACUGAGACACGGCCCAGACUCCUACGGGAGGCAGCAGUGGGGAAUUUUGGACAAUGGGCGCAAGCCUGAUCCAGCCAUGCCGCGUGUCUGAAGAAGGCCUUCGGGUUGUAAAGGACUUUUGUCAGGGAAGAAAAGGCUGUUGCUAAUAUCAGCGGCUGAUGACGGUACCUGAAGAAUAAGCACCGGCUAACUACGUGCCAGCAGCCGCGGUAAUACGUAGGGUGCGAGCGUUAAUCGGAAUUACUGGGCGUAAAGCGGGCGCAGACGGUUACUUAAGCAGGAUGUGAAAUCCCCGGGCUCAACCCGGGAACUGCGUUCUGAACUGGGUGACUCGAGUGUGUCAGAGGGAGGUAGAAUUCCACGUGUAGCAGUGAAAUGCGUAGAGAUGUGGAGGAAUACCGAUGGCGAAGGCAGCCUCCUGGGACAACACUGACGUUCAUGCCCGAAAGCGUGGGUAGCAAACAGGAUUAGAUACCCUGGUAGUCCACGCCCUAAACGAUGUCAAUUAGCUGUUGGGCAACUUGAUUGCUUAGUAGCGUAGCUAACGCGUGAAAUUGACCGCCUGGGGAGUACGGUCGCAAGAUUAAAACUCAAAGGAAUUGACGGGGACCCGCACAAGCGGUGGAUGAUGUGGAUUAAUUCGAUGCAACGCGAAGAACCUUACCUGGUCUUGACAUGUACGGAAUCCUCCAGAGACGGAGGAGUGCCUUCGGGAGCCGUAACACAGGUGCUGCAUGGCUGUCGUCAGCUCGUGUCGUGAGAUGUUGGGUUAAGUCCCGCAACGAGCGCAACCCUUGUCAUUAGUUGCCAUCAUUCAGUUGGGCACUCUAAUGAGACUGCCGGUGACAAGCCGGAGGAAGGUGGGGAUGACGUCAAGUCCUCAUGGCCCUUAUGACCAGGGCUUCACACGUCAUACAAUGGUCGGUACAGAGGGUAGCCAAGCCGCGAGGCGGAGCCAAUCUCACAAAACCGAUCGUAGUCCGGAUUGCACUCUGCAACUCGAGUGCAUGAAGUCGGAAUCGCUAGUAAUCGCAGGUCAGCAUACUGCGGUGAAUACGUUCCCGGGUCUUGUACACACCGCCCGUCACACCAUGGGAGUGGGGGAUACCAGAAGUAGGUAGGGUAACCGCAAGGAGCCCGCUUACCACGGUAUGCUUCAUGACUGGGGUGAAGUCGUAACAAGGUAGCCGUAGGGGAACCUGCGGCUGGAUCACCUCCUUUCUAG